This 253-nucleotide ribosomal RNA is filed under the name uncultured bacterium. Its description in RNAcentral is "partial 16S ribosomal RNA". It matches the Rfam family "Bacterial small subunit ribosomal RNA", at positions 524 to 776 of the family's 1533-position model. The record is from RNAcentral.
UACGAAGGGGGCUAGCGUUGUUCGGAAUUACUGGGCGUAAAGCGCGUGUAGGCGGGUCUUUAAGUCAGGGGUGAAAUGCCAGGGCUCAACCUUGGAACUGCCUUUGAUACUGGGGAUCUUGAGUCCGGGAGAGGUGAGUGGAACUGCGAGUGUAGAGGUGAAAUUCGUAGAUAUUCGCAAGAACACCAGUGGCGAAGGCGGCUCACUGGCCCGGUACUGACGCUGAGGUGCGAAAGCGUGGGGAUCAAACAGG